Non-coding RNA from Acanthosepion pharaonis, 113 nucleotides. NCBI's taxonomy places the organism in Eukaryota, Metazoa, Mollusca, Cephalopoda, Sepiida, Sepiidae. The record is from the annotation of a GenBank genome assembly.
UGUGGAUAUAUCACGUUGAAACACCUGUUCUCGUCCGAUCACCGAAGUUAAGGAACGUCGAGCCUUGUCAGUACCGAGAUGUAUAACCGCCUGGGAAUACCAGCUGCUGUAAG